AGUCUGAAAAACAAGUUAAUAAACUAAAACUUUCAACAACGGAUCUCUUGGUUCUGGCAUCGAUGAAGAACGCAGCGAAAUGCGAUAAGUAAUGUGAAUUGCAGAAUUCAGUGAAUCAUCGAAUCUUUGAACGCACAUUGCGCCCCUUGGUAUUCCGG
This 158-nucleotide ribosomal RNA is filed under the name Dothiorella sarmentorum. RNAcentral describes it as "5.8S ribosomal RNA". The stretch from base 28 to 158 matches the Rfam family "5.8S ribosomal RNA", at positions 1 to 131 of the family's 154-position model. Rfam says of the family: 5.8S ribosomal RNA (5.8S rRNA) is a component of the large subunit of the eukaryotic ribosome. It is transcribed by RNA polymerase I as part of the 45S precursor that also contains 18S and 28S rRNA. Lineage: Eukaryota; Fungi; Ascomycota; Dothideomycetes; Botryosphaeriales; Botryosphaeriaceae. The record is from RNAcentral. RNAcentral also lists the same sequence under 5 other names.